RNAcentral lists this ribosomal RNA (403 nucleotides) under Fusobacteriota bacterium. RNAcentral's name for it is "Fusobacteria bacterium partial 16S ribosomal RNA". It matches the Rfam family "Bacterial small subunit ribosomal RNA", at positions 355 to 776 of the family's 1533-position model. The record is from RNAcentral. Lineage: Bacteria; Fusobacteriati; Fusobacteriota.
UGGGGAAUAUUGCACAAUGGGGGAAACCCUGAUGCAGCGACGCCGCGUGAGCGAAGAAGGUUUUCGAAUCGUAAAGCUCUGUCCUAUGGGAAGAUAAUGACGGUACCAUAGGAGGAAGCCCCGGCUAACUACAUGCCAGCAGCCGCGGUAAUACGUAGGGGGCAAGCGUUGUCCGGAAUCACUGGGCGUAAAGGGUUCGCAGGCGGAAAUGCAAGUCAGUUGUGAAAGGCAGAGGCUCAACCUCUGUAAGCAAUUGAUACUGUAUUUCUUGAGAUGUGGAGAGGCAAGUGGAAUUCCUAGUGUAGCGGUGAAAUGCGUAGAUAUUAGGAAGAAUACCGGUGGCGAAGGCGACUUGCUGGACACAAACUGACGCUGAGGAACGAAAGCGUGGGUAGCAAACAGG